This is a long non-coding RNA of Nanorana parkeri, 257 nucleotides long. RefSeq lists it as uncharacterized. The transcript is spliced from 3 exons. The record is from RefSeq and is a predicted model, not a curated record. Lineage: Eukaryota; Metazoa; Chordata; Amphibia; Anura; Dicroglossidae.
AUUCUUCAUCUCCUCACACAGCUUUUCCAAACAAAGCCAUGAAAAUCAUUAACAAAAGAUCUUUUUCUGCUGGUCACAGAAAAGUUUUUUAUCACCUUUCUAGUAUAACUUCUGCCAUUUUAACUGUACUAACCGUUUGGACUUUAGGAGGUGCCUGAUUUUAGAAUGCUGACCGUAGACUGUUGAAAGUUCUUUUUUACUGCUCCAUCCACUGCGCAGAUCAUCCAACAUAGGGCGCGAAUGAGUGGGUAGGUGCA